GUAAAACAGGUAGAAUUAGCCCGUCCCACUCUAAGGGGUAGUUGAGGCCUCGAGAGAAGUCUAGAGGAAGGAGACCUCCAGAGAUGACUCCAUCUCUUCCUCCUCUCCAGGUGUUCUUUAUUUUAUGAAUGAAGCCAGAGCAGCCCACCUUCCUGCAUCUCUACCAUCAUGGCACCAUGCCCUCUGAUGGGUGGGCUGGAGUCAAAUACGUAGCAGGCAGCCAGGGUCAGUUUGUGGCCACUGCUGCCCCCUCUUCCUACAGUCUCCCCACCAAGUGCCCCUUCCCUGAUGGUUCAACACGUCUGUGCUCCUGUAAGCCCUCAGCUUCCUCAUUCUCUUCCUCAACUUCUACCACCAGACACACCUGAGGGGCAAGCAAGACAGGCUGAACUAAGGGCAGGACCCAGGGACUGAAACCAGCACAGUGUCCCCACAGAGAAUUGGGUGGAAGGCAGCGUGGCUUCCAGCUUACUGGUGCCGAGCAGAUUCCUCUGGGUGCCGAGCAGAUUCCUCUGGGUUUCCAUUGUAUCCUCUGAAGCAAGGAGGAGGAUUGUCUUCUGUCCAGAUCUCAGGAUCAAAGAAAUAGGUCCAACUUCCUGUGCUCCCUUCAGUUAGAGCACUUCCCAUGUGACUUUGUAGCUUUGUGUGCAUCUCCUUCCCCUGCUAGACCUGAACCCCCCACGGGAGGGACUCUCUUAUUCUGAAUGUUCCCCACACCUGGAAUUUUAAUAAACAUCUCAA
Molecule: long non-coding RNA, 741 nt
Organism: Mandrillus leucophaeus (drill)
Lineage: Eukaryota; Metazoa; Chordata; Mammalia; Primates; Cercopithecidae
Exons: 2
Source: RefSeq, a predicted model, not a curated record